This 426-nucleotide ribosomal RNA is filed under the name uncultured bacterium. RNAcentral's name for it is "bacterial SSU rRNA". It matches the Rfam family "Bacterial small subunit ribosomal RNA", at positions 354 to 772 of the family's 1533-position model. The record is from RNAcentral.
GUGGGGAAUAUUGGACAAUGGGCGCAAGCCUGAUCCAGCCAUACCGCGUGGGUGAAGAAGGCCUUCGGGUUGUAAAGCCCUUUUGUUGGGAAAGAAAAGCAGUCGAUUAAUACUCGGUUGUUCUGACGGUACCCAACGAAUAAGCACCGGCUAACUUCGUGCCAGCAGCCGCGGUAAUACGAAGGGUGCAAGCGUUACUCGGAAUUACUGGGCGUAAAGCGUGCGUAGGUGGUUGUUUAAGUCUGUUGUGAAAGCCCUGGGCUCAACCUGGGAAUUGCAGUGGAUACUGGGCGACUAGAGUGUGGUAGAGGGUAGUGGAAUUCCCGGUGUAGCAGUGAAAUGCGUAGAGAUCGGGAGGAACAUCCAUGGCGAAGGCAGCUACCUGGACCAACACUGACACUGAGGCACGAAAGCGUGGGGAGCAAA